Molecule: unclassified non-coding RNA, 560 nt
Filed under: Hevea brasiliensis (rubber tree)
Lineage: Eukaryota; Viridiplantae; Streptophyta; Magnoliopsida; Malpighiales; Euphorbiaceae
Source: RNAcentral
AAAAAAAAAAACCAAGCAAAAUCUAAAAAAUAUCGACAAAUUUCUACAAAACAAAUCCCUAAACUAUCAAAUCCCCAAAGAGUUGAGAAAAACAAAUCCCUAACAAAAUUUAGCAAAUUUCAACAACAAAUAUCCCUAGAGAAGACCAGAUCGAUGGUGAUUUGUUUGGGUUAGUGUUGAUGGACAACUUCUUCAAAUAAACAUGGUGAUUUGUUUGAUGGUGAACAAAAACUUAGGCGUCGCUAGAUCGCUUCUUCAUGCACCUGGAGCUUUGAUGCAAGGGUAGCACGAGAAUGAUCAAUAAACAGCAAGUGCAAAUAAUCGGGGAGAAGGGACAGUAAAGAAGUACAAGGGAAAGGGCAGUAGAAAUAAACAAAAGUAAUAUGAGGAAUAAGAAGAAGGGACGGUAGGUGAAGGAGCAGGCUGGCUGACGUGAUGGAUUGGGUUAGCAAAAAGAAACCAAAGAAGAAGGGGAAGGAGUAGGGGAGAGAAAGGUAGUGGGCUACGGGUAGCAUAAGCAUGAGGCAUUAGCACUUUGGCAGGGGCAGCAAAAAGGAGCA